This 328-nucleotide ribosomal RNA is filed under the name uncultured eukaryote. RNAcentral's name for it is "partial 18S ribosomal RNA". It matches the Rfam family "Eukaryotic small subunit ribosomal RNA", at positions 1470 to 1796 of the family's 1831-position model. The record is from RNAcentral.
CCCUUAGAUGUCCGGGGCUGCACGCGCGCUACACUGAAGGAAUCAGCGUGCUAAAACCAUUGUCGAAAGGCAUUGGUAAACCCAUUAAAAUCCUACGUGAUUGGGAUCGGGAAUUGCAAUUAUUUCCCUUGAACGAGGAAUUCCCAGUAAGUGUGGGUCAUAAGCUCGCGUUGAUUACGUCCCUGCCCUUUGUACACACCGCCCGUCGCUGCCCGGGACUGAGCCGUUUCGAGAAAAGCGGGGACUGCUGCUGUCGGGGCUUUCGGGCCUUGGCUUCGGUGGAAACCGCUUUAAUCGCAGUGGCUUAAACCGGGCAAAAGUCGUAACA